CGGGGUCUAAUACCGGAUAUGACUACUGAGGGCAUCCUCGGUGGUGGAAAGUUCUGGCGGUACAGGAUGAACCCGCGGCCUAUCAGCUUGUUGGUGGGGUAGUGGCCUACCAAGGCGACGACGGGUAGCCGGCCUGAGAGGGUGACCGGCCACACUGGGACUGAGACACGGCCCAGACUCCUACGGGAGGCAGCAGUGGGGAAUAUUGCACAAUGGGCGAAAGCCUGAUGCAGCGACGCCGCGUGAGGGAUGACGGCCUUCGGGUUGUAAACCUCUUUCGCCAGGGACGAAGCGCAAGUGACGGUACCUGGAUAAGAAGCACCGGCUAACUACGUGCCAGCAGCCGCGGUAAUACGUAGGGUGCGAGCGUUGUCCGGAAUUAUUGGGCGUAAAGAGCUCGUAGGCGGUUUGUCGCGUCGGCCGUGAAAUCUCCACGCUUAACGUGGAGCGUGCGGUCGAUACGGGCAGACUUGAGUUCGGCAGGGGAGACUGGAAUUCCUGGUGUAGCGGUGAAAUGCGCAGAUAUCAGGAGGAACACCGGUGGCGAAGGCGGGUCUCUG
RNAcentral lists this ribosomal RNA (560 nucleotides) under Amycolatopsis sp. RNAcentral's name for it is "bacterial SSU rRNA". It matches the Rfam family "Bacterial small subunit ribosomal RNA", at positions 157 to 731 of the family's 1533-position model. The record is from RNAcentral. Lineage: Bacteria; Bacillati; Actinomycetota; Actinomycetes; Pseudonocardiales; Pseudonocardiaceae.